RNAcentral lists this ribosomal RNA (301 nucleotides) under uncultured bacterium. RNAcentral's name for it is "partial 16S ribosomal RNA". It matches the Rfam family "Bacterial small subunit ribosomal RNA", at positions 509 to 807 of the family's 1533-position model. The record is from RNAcentral.
CAGUAGCCGCGGGAAUACGUAGGUGGCAAGCGUUGUCCGGAAUUAUUGGGCGUAAAGGGCUCGCAGGCGGUUUCUUAAGUCUGAUGUGAAAGCCCCCGGCUCAACCGGGGAGGGUCAUUGGAAACUGGGAAACUCGAGUGCAGAAGAGGAGAGUGGAAUUCCACGUGUAGCGGUGAAAUGCGUAGAGAUGUGGAGGAACACCAGUGGCGAAGGCGGCUCACUGGUCCAUUACUGACGCUGAGGUGCGAAAGCGUGGGGAGCAAACAGGAUUAGAUACCCCAGUAGUCCCUGUCUCUUAUAC